UAGUUUGAUUCUGACUCGUGUUUUGUUUAAACCUAAAAGCCAAAUACAAGCAUAAGGGACUUAAUGUCAAGAAGUAGUGGUUCAUUUUGAUUAUCAAAUUUUUGGAAUCAGUCAAGGUUUUUAAGAUCGGCUUAACUCGUGCCAGCCGCCGCGGUUAUACGAAGGAUUUAAAUGAAACAGAUUGGUGGAAUUAAGUAAAUAUUGAUUUUAAAGGGAUUUUUUUGAUGAAAAAUUAGGGGUAAAAUCUUUCUUUUUUUAAAUUAGAAAUUUUUAGUAAAUUUAUUAACUUUGUAGAUAGGGGUUUAAACUAGGAUUAGAUACCCUAUUAUUCCCUAUUAAAUUUGUUGCCAGGGUAGUAGAGAUCUUUAAACCUAAAGAAUUUGGCGGUACUUCAUUCUUACUAGAGGAACCUGCUCUUGGAUCGAUAUUCCACGUUUAAAUGUACAUAUUUUUGUAUUCAGUUUGUAUACCGCCGUUGUCAGAUUAUUUUUAGAAAAUAUAAUCUAGUUAAUUUAAAGUUUAUGACUUCAGGUCAAGGUGCAGCUUAUAAAUAUGGGAGAAGUGGGUUACAAUAAAUUAUAAUUAUACGGAUUAGUAUGUGUAAACAUAUUAUUAAGGUGGAUUUAGUAGUAAAUUUAGAAUAGAAUUCUUUAUUGAAGUUGGCUCUGAGGUGUGUACACAUCGCCCGUCGCUCUCUCCUCUAAGGAGAGAUAAGUCGUAACAUAGUAGAUGUACUGGAAAGUGUCUCUAGAUAGU
Molecule: non-coding RNA, 756 nt
Filed under: Triops cancriformis
Lineage: Eukaryota; Metazoa; Arthropoda; Branchiopoda; Notostraca; Triopsidae
Description: 12S ribosomal RNA
Rfam family: Microsporidia small subunit ribosomal RNA
Source: RNAcentral